This is a long non-coding RNA of Brienomyrus brachyistius, 282 nucleotides long. RefSeq lists it as uncharacterized. Lineage: Eukaryota; Metazoa; Chordata; Actinopteri; Osteoglossiformes; Mormyridae. The transcript is spliced from 3 exons. The record is from RefSeq and is a predicted model, not a curated record.
GGGAAUCAUUGCGACUACGGAGCAAUAUACAGAAUGAGGGAGAAGCUUGGAUUACAGUCCUGUGAGGUCAACACAGGCUCACCAGUGUCUGCGCCACCUGAGGUCAACACAGGCUCACCAGUGUCUGCGCCACCUGAGGUCAACACAGGCUCACCAGUGUCUGCGCCACCUGAGGUCAACACAGGCUCACCAGUGUCUGCGCCACCUGAGGUCAACACAGGCUCACCAGUGUCUGCGCCACCUGAGGUCAACACAGGCUCACCAGUGUCUGCGCCACAUGAG